RNAcentral lists this ribosomal RNA (105 nucleotides) under Aegilops tauschii subsp. strangulata. The record is from RNAcentral. Lineage: Eukaryota; Viridiplantae; Streptophyta; Magnoliopsida; Poales; Poaceae.
UGGUGCGGUUGAACCGUGGUAAAACUCGUCUCCGUAGUUGAGCGUGCUUGGGCGAGUGUAGUAUUAGGAUGGGUGACCUCCUGGGAAGUCCUCGUGUUGCAUUCC